AUUGAACGCUGGCGGCAGGCCUAACACAUGCCAGUCGAACGGUAACAGGAAGAAGCUUGCUCCUUUGCUGACGAGUGGCGGACGGGUGAGUAAUGUCUGGGAAACUGCCUGAUGGAGGGGGAUAACUACUGGAAACGGUAGCUAAUACCGCAUAACGUCGCAAGACCAAAAAGGGGGACCUUCGGGCCUCUUGCCAUCGGAUGUGCCCAGAUGGGAUUAGCUAGUAGGUGGGGUAACGGCUCACCUAGGCGACGAUCCCUAGCUGGUCUGAGAGGAUGACCAGCCACACUGGAACUGAGACACGGUCCAGACUCCUACGGGAGGCAGCAGUGGGGAAUAUUGCACAAUGGGCGCAAGCCUGAUGCAGCCAUGCCGCGUGUAUGAAGAAGGCCUUCGGGUUGUAAAGUACUUUCAGCGGGGAGGAAGGGAGUAAAGUUAAUACCUUUGCUCAUUGACGUUACCCGCAGAAGAAGCACCGGCUAACUCCGUG
This 490-nucleotide ribosomal RNA is filed under the name uncultured bacterium. RNAcentral describes it as "partial 16S ribosomal RNA". It matches the Rfam family "Bacterial small subunit ribosomal RNA", at positions 30 to 507 of the family's 1533-position model. The record is from RNAcentral.